GCUUGUCUCAAAGAUUAAGCCAUGCAUGUCUAAGUAUAAGCAAUUAUACAGCGAAACUGCGAAUGGCUCAUCUAUAUAAGUUAUCGUUUAUUUGAUAGUACCUUACUACUUGGAUAACCGUGGUAAUUCUAGAGCUAAUACAUGCUAAAAAUCCCGACUCCGGAAGGGAUGUAUUUAUUAGAUUAAAAACCAAUGCCCUUCGGGGCUCACUGGUGAUUCAUAAUAACUUCUCGAAUCGCACGGCCUUGCGCCGGCGAUGGUUCAUUCAAAUUUCUUCCCUAUCAACUUUCGAUGUUUGGGUAGUGGCCAAACAUGGUAGGCAACGGGUAACAGGAGGGUUAGGGCUCGACCCCGGAGAAGGAGCCUGAGAAACGGCUACUACAUCCAAGGAAGGCAGCAGGCGCGCAAAUUACCCAAUCCCGACACGGGGAGGUAGUGACAAUAAAUACUGAUACAGGGCUCUUUUGGGUCUUGUAAUCGGAAUGAGUACAAUUUAAAUCCCUUAACGAGGAACAAUUGGAGGGCAAGUCUGGUGCCAGCAGCCGCGGUAAUUCCAGCUCCAAUAGCGUAUAUUAAAGUUGUUGUCGGUUAAAAAGCUCGUAGUUGAACCUUGGCCCUGGCUGGCCGGUCCGCCUCACCGCGUGCACUGGUCCGGCCGGGGCUUUCCCUCUGUGGAACCCCAUGCCCUUCACUGGGUGUGGCGGGGAAACAGGACUUUUACUUUGAAAAAAUUAGAGUGCUCCAGGCAGGCCUAUGCUCGAAUACAUUAGCAUGGAAUAAUAGAAUAGGACGCGCGGUUCUAUUUUGUUGGUUUCUAGGACCGCCGUAAUGAUUAAUAGGGACAGUCGGGGGCAUCAGUAUUCAAUUGUCAGAGGUGAAAUUCUUGGAUUUAUUGAAGACUAACUACUGCGAAAGCAUUUGCCAAGGAUGUUUUCAUUAAUCAGGAACGAAAGUUAGGGGAUCGAAGACGAUCAGAUACCGUCGUAGUCUUAACCAUAAACUAUGCCGACUAGGGAUCGGGCGAUGUUAUUUUUUGACUCGCUCGGCACCUCACGAGAAAUCAAAGUGCUUGGGCU
RNAcentral lists this ribosomal RNA (1076 nucleotides) under Torpedospora mangrovei. Its description in RNAcentral is "SSU rRNA". It matches the Rfam family "Eukaryotic small subunit ribosomal RNA", at positions 30 to 1113 of the family's 1831-position model. Lineage: Eukaryota; Fungi; Ascomycota; Sordariomycetes; Torpedosporales; Torpedosporaceae. The record is from RNAcentral.